This 676-nucleotide long non-coding RNA is filed under the name Homo sapiens (human). Its description in RNAcentral is "long non-coding RNA NONHSAT114501.2". Lineage: Eukaryota; Metazoa; Chordata; Mammalia; Primates; Hominidae. The record is from RNAcentral.
GUGUUAUGGGAGCUCAGGGGAGGAGAAAUUAAUUCCAAGUAGCAGCAGCACUACUGAGUAUUUCACAAGUGAGGAGGACAGGGCAAUCUGGGCAGAGGAAGUAGACUCAACACAGGUACAGAGGCUGGAAUGCUUGGAGAGCACUGUGAAGGCCACUGUGGCUGGACUGUCCCUGCCAGGGGAGAAGGAGGCAUGGUAGCUUCAGUAGGAGGAAGACUUUCUUCUAGGACUCGGAGACCAUCAAUUACCAGUCGGCCACUGCUCCUUUCUCGAAUAAAUAUCACCUGGAUGAAGAGAAGGACAAUAGCACAUCUCAGGGACUUUGGCUAAAAAAAUAAACUGUCAAAGGAACUGGCAUUUGCUGACUGGACUACAGCACAUCUCGAAGAAUCUGCAGACUGAAACCUUCAAGGCAUUCAUGAAAUGGUCUUCCCUUAGUUCCCCUGCCUUUUCCACUCUUUCUGCCAUUUGGAUUUCACACUGGAAGUUCAAGAGAUGACAUCAGAAAACAGAAAAGCCAGUGGGAAAGGCAAGGUAUAAAGAACUUUCAGGGAAUACUCACAUCAUAAAUUCGGUCAGUGGUGUUCAAAGCAAAUUCUGCUGUUUCAUUGGCUUCACUAACAUAAUUAACAAUAUUUUCAUAGACAUUUGAUGCAUCCAAAGCCUUCUGUACCAG